GACGAACGCUGGCGGCGUGCUUAACACAUGCAAGUCGAGCGGUAAGGCCCUUUCGGGGGUACACGAGCGGCGAACGGGUGAGUAACACGUGGGUGACCUGCCCUCAGCUCUGGGAUAAGCCUGGGAAACCGGGUCUAAUACUGGAUAUGACUCCAUGACGCAUGUUGUGGGGUGGAAAGCCUUGUGCGGCUGAGGAUGGGCCCGCGGCCUAUCAGCUUGUUGGUGGGGUGAUGGCCUACCAAGGCGACGACGGGUAGCCGGCCUGAGAGGGCGACCGGGCCACACUGGGACUGAGACACGGCCCAGACUCCUACGGGAGGCAGCAGUGGGGAAUCUUGCGCAAUGGGCGAAAGCCUGACGCAGCGACGCCGCGUGAGGGAUGACGGCCU
This 389-nucleotide ribosomal RNA is filed under the name uncultured bacterium. Its description in RNAcentral is "bacterial SSU rRNA". It matches the Rfam family "Bacterial small subunit ribosomal RNA", at positions 28 to 417 of the family's 1533-position model. The record is from RNAcentral.